AUUCGGUCAAGGUUUGUAAAGUCGAUCUCUUCUGAUCUAUCAAAUCAAGCUCUUUUUCAAGUCCAACUGAUAUAAAUUUUCAUCUUUCAUGACUUCAUCAAAGGGAACCCGUCAUUGUGUGCUGAACAACCUUAAUAGAGAAAAAGUCACUUGCCAUGGUGUUUUUUGCUCUAUAAUCAGUGCUACUAUUUUUUUUUCUUUUUAGAUCCAACCAAUUUUGUAAAUGACUACAGAAUGAGGGGAGAGAACUAGACUUGAAAGAAGUCAUUGUUUCAUUUGAUUUAAUGGUUCUUGUGAUGCUGACUUGAUAAAUUUUUAUCGAUCCAUGUUUCAACACUGUAGCAUUUUUUUUUUUUAAAUGAAAAUUCUUAGUUGUCCCUUUGAUCGUUGAUGACAAAACGGGGGAGUAGAAGAAGUAUGAUCUAAAUUCAUUUGGCUGAUAUUAGCACGUUGGUAUUCUAUGUUCCAUGUGUUUUUAGUUGUUUCAUGACUAUACUUGCAUUCUCUAAAUACAUAAUGAUUUAUCGAUUUCAUACUUGUAGUUUCCUCUCGCGUUUCAUAUGGUACUGCUUGAGUUUUUGUGAUUCAAGAAACAGGUAUAUAAGAGCAUUUGAGAUGGAGUGUGGUUGUGAGAAUUGUUUGGUUGGUCAAAUUCUAACUUCUGGGUGAUUAGAAUUUGAUACUUUUGUAGUUUUUAUAAAUGACUUUCUUACAGAAUGUCAAAAGCUUAGUUUAUCAUGUCUAGAUAAGUAUUGACAAGUUUCUUGUCUAAAAAAAUUAAAUUGAGUUGUAAUUGGACUUUUAUUGAUGGGUCUUAAUGGUUGACUGAGU
This 831-nucleotide long non-coding RNA is filed under the name Olea europaea subsp. europaea. The record is from RNAcentral. Lineage: Eukaryota; Viridiplantae; Streptophyta; Magnoliopsida; Lamiales; Oleaceae.